Long non-coding RNA from Gallus gallus (chicken), 2135 nucleotides. RefSeq lists it as uncharacterized. NCBI's taxonomy places the organism in Eukaryota, Metazoa, Chordata, Aves, Galliformes, Phasianidae. The transcript is spliced from 2 exons. The record is from RefSeq and is a predicted model, not a curated record.
UAAAUGAGGAGGUUGGUGGCCCUGCCUGGCAGGGGAAUCCUGAGGUCCUUUCCAACCCAGGCCAUAUUGUGAUUCUGUGAUCACCCUGCUGGCCACCCAUUUUUUCAUAACGCCCGGGAUAUAGUUGGCCUUCCAGACCACAGGCUCACACUGCUGGCUCACGUCUAGCUUUUCAUCUACCAGAACCCCAGAAGUCCUUCUGGCAAACAGAAAAAUCUUUCCCAUCUUUUUCAAGAAUCUGUGAUGAGACUCCUCGCUCCCCAUGGGGGGAUGAGCAUAGGGAUGAGCCUCAUGCAUCCUAAGGGCCUUGAUCUUCCCAAGAAAGCCAACCUCCUAAUAAGGUAGCUUUCUGAUUUUCUGGUCAGCCCAACAUGUCUGCAUGCUGGCAUAUGACUUCAUUUGUGACCUAAGAGAAAACAACUGUUAGCCAGCUACGUGUAGAAAAACAUGACUAAGUACUUCCCCUGUAUGCCUUACUGCUGGGCAAGGAGGAGCUUUUUAAGGAGAAGGUAAGGAUGUGAGUAAGCUGUAAACAAUUAAAAGCAUGAAAAAAAAAAAAUCUUGGUAAGUACAACAUUUCACCUUGCUAAUUUUCAUUCUAUAGCAUCACCAGAUUUGUCACAUUACAGGAAGGAAUAACGUGUUUUUUUCAGUGUCUCCCAAAAUAUUGUAAGCACAGCCAUAACAGCCACCAUAAUUUUUAAUAAUAUUUGCAGGAAACUUGAUUUUAUUUAUGAAAGUAAUGCUACUAGGCAUUCUGGCAAAGUAAUUCUUGUUUUGGAAGGAAUACGGAGAAAUGUUUCCUAAACAGGAAGCACAGUACUUUUGUUUUGAGGGUGUUUUGCCCAUUUCCUUUAAGCCAAGUGAUAAUAAUUAGCAAAUUUAUGAGAAACAGCAUCACUAUCUUUCAAAAAGUUCACGAAGAUAAACAAGUAAUUAUAUCCAGCAAAUGUGUGAAUUAAGGCACGGAAAGGUUGAAAAACCCAGCCGAAGCCUGAUGCGUGAUCAGUGGCAGAAGUGAAAACCAAAACUAGAAAAUGCUGAUGUAAAGCAAUUGCAUAAUCUCUGUAGACGGAAGUUUGCAUUUCAGCAGUUCAACAUUCUGACUCAUUUUCCCCUUAUUUACUGUAACAGGAGUUUCUGAUAGUGACAUGCAAAAAUGCCUCUGUGUAAGAGUGUUAGUAUUGCCUAUGUCGGUCAGGAGUCCAGUCAGAAAUCUCUUAAGUCCCAAUUCGGAAGGAAUGAAAGAGAGUGUCUGUGAAACUUGUUCAGUGGGAUCUGGAAAAGAGCAUUAGAUACUCCAGGAAGAGAAGUCUGGGAAAAUAUUUCAGUUGUGCUUGACUUUGUUUCUCAGUCUUUCACACCAUCAAUCUCCUUGGUUUGUUUGUUUGUUUGUUUGUUUGUUUUACAUUUAGGAUGAGAGAACCAUACAAGAGAUAGGAAAAUCUUCUGCUGCUUGUUGUUCUCCAUGAAAGGAAAAAUAGAGACAGAAGAUCGGCUGAUAAAAAGGUGAAUCUGAGGUUGGUUAUAUGUGGUGCAAUUUCCUCUUUCCAAGGGUGACUGAUCGUAAAGGAAAGGAACUGUAAAAGCUGAGCCUGCUGCAUCAUUCUUUCUGGGGAUCACAUCACAGAACUCUGAAGACCUUUGAACUGUGAGUUAAAUCCUGCAGUGUUUGAUAUAUAUGACACUAUCCAGGCUUCUACCAAACAAAUCAAACAGUAGUUUAUGUCUGUGUUGUAUGUAUGUAUAUAUUUAUGGGUAGGGAGAAGUUAUUCUAUUGAUUAGACCAGUUAAGAUAGCUGAGAAGAUACUGACAGAUGUUUGUACACACCAUUUCUUUAUCAUGUUUAUCUAUGGAAGGAAAUUACAUCUAUGUUGGGAAAGUUUCCUAAAAGUAGCAUCUGUAGUAACAACACAUACCUUAAAAAACACAGUAAUUAGUGUGUUGAAUUUAAGUAAAACUUGCAGAGAACUGUUUUGUUCACUUUAAUAGGAUGUGAAAAUUUCUGAAGUGAAUUUAUUCAUUAAAAACUGAGGGAAAUAAAAUGUUAAGUUGGCCUCCACACUGAUUUUAAAAGUAAAAAAAAAAAAAAAAGAUAAAGCAUAUAUUGAUUUGGCACUGAAAUGAACCUACA